UACGAAGGGGGCUAGCGUUGUUCGGAAUUACUGGGCGUAAAGCGUGCGUAGACGGUUAUUUAAGUCAGGUGUGAAAGCCCAGGGCUCAACCUUGGAAUUGCAUUUGAGACUGAAUAGCUAGGGUGCGGAAGAGGGAAGCGGAAUUUCCGGUGUAGCGGUGAAAUGCGUAGAUAUCGGGAGGAACACCAGUGGCGAAGGCGACUUCCUGGCCUGUUCUUGACGCUGAGGCGCGAAAGCUAGGGGAGCAAACGGG
This 253-nucleotide ribosomal RNA is filed under the name uncultured bacterium. Its description in RNAcentral is "partial 16S ribosomal RNA". It matches the Rfam family "Bacterial small subunit ribosomal RNA", at positions 524 to 776 of the family's 1533-position model. The record is from RNAcentral.